AUUGAACGCUGGCGGCAUGCUUUACACAUGCAAGUCGAACGGUAACAGGUUAAGCUGACGAGUGGCGAACGGGUGAGUAAUGCAUCGGAACGUGCCCGGUCGUGGGGGAUAACGCAGCGAAAGCUGCGCUAAUACCGCAUACGAUCUAAGGAUGAAAGCGGGGGACCGUAAGGCCUCGCGCGAUCGGAGCGGCCGAUGUCAGAUUAGGUAGUUGGUGGGGUAAAGGCUCACCAAGCCAACGAUCUGUAGCUGGUCUGAGAGGACGACCAGCCACACUGGGACUGAGACACGGCCCAGACUCCUACGGGAGGCAGCAGUGGGGAAUUUUGGAAAAUGGGCGAAAGCCUGAUCCAGCAAUGCCGCGUGCAGGAAGAAGGCCUUCGGGUUGUAAACUGCUUUUGUACGGAGCGAAAAGGUCUCUUCUAAUACAGGGGGCUCAUGACGGUACCGUAAGAAUAAGCACCGGCUAACUACGUGCCAGCAGCCGCCGUAA
This 493-nucleotide ribosomal RNA is filed under the name uncultured bacterium. RNAcentral describes it as "partial 16S ribosomal RNA". It matches the Rfam family "Bacterial small subunit ribosomal RNA", at positions 30 to 523 of the family's 1533-position model. The record is from RNAcentral.